Astatotilapia calliptera (eastern happy) is the source of this 1215-nucleotide long non-coding RNA. The record is from Ensembl. NCBI's taxonomy places the organism in Eukaryota, Metazoa, Chordata, Actinopteri, Cichliformes, Cichlidae.
CGAUCUCUGGUUUGCAUGUGCUACACAUAAUUCAAAACAACAUAAACAACAGCACUUUGUCCUUUCCAUAUCAUUUCCCUCAAGUGCAGAGCAAUUAUCUAGUUUUAUUUUAGGAUUCCUGAAAGUCUUCAUUGCCUUUUUGACUGGGUUUUUUUUUUUCAGUAAUCGUGCACUGUUUGGUCAAAAAUUGCUACAGGUACAACAGUAACUUUAAUAAUUAUUAUUAGGUUUUGUGUGAAGAUAGAUUUUUACAUAUAUUUGUAAACAUAUUCUAUAAAACCUGAAAUUUCUCCAUGAAAAAAAGACCUCCAGAAAUUCUGAUGAGUCUUUGGAUAUGGAUUUUUGUUUGUUUGUUUGGAUACUAAUAGACUUGGAUGACUAAUUACCACAAUCUUUUUUUGUUUUCUAUAGACCUUAUAGUUUUUUAAUAUUGAUCUCUACCAAAUGGUUGAGAUAUCACUUAAUGGUUUACUUAUACGUUAUGUAAAUACAAGUACAGUAGAUAAUACAGUUGCAAUAAAUGAAAUAAAAUACCAAAUUAUAUUGAAAUUAAUAACAAAAAAACUAUCCAGAGCAUUUAUUUCUGCCACUGGAGCUCAUUUAUUUCUAGUAGUAUGCCACAGAACAUCAUUCCAGCAAAGGAAAAUAUUGUAUCAAACAACAAAAUAGUGCAUUUCUAAUUUUUUAACAUUAUAUGCAUCUCUGUUAAACUUCAGCAGCAGAAAAGUCUCACAUUCAGGACAAUAGUGAUUGUAUCACGUGCUGCAAAAUCAUUUGUACUUUCAAAAACAAAAACAAACAAACAUCCAAAACAAAAAUUUGAGUAAAGCAUUAAACAUUUCUCGGCACCCUUCUACACACUAAGUAUCAGUCACCGGACACAUGUGGCUGUUAAGCCACUCAGCUGUGGCUCCUGGAAACACUCAAAUAAAAAAAACAAAUUAAAAAAAAAACGUGUGUGUGUUUACAUAUAUAAAUAUGUGUUUGCAUGUGCUCUCUUCUGUCUUACAGCAGCUUGUGUGAAACACUGUGGUUCUUACAGUACAGUUCUUCCCUGGAUUGUUGCUGGUGUAUCUCUCACUUUGAAUGUCUUCUGCAUAACCUACAUAUGGUUCCUUUGGACUUCAAGAAAAAAGGUGAACCUACAUCAGGAGGAGAGAACCGACAUGUCACUGCAAAAAGCAGAUGUAUCAUCAGAUUAUGAUGUUAUUGCAC